This 72-nucleotide transfer RNA is filed under the name Gemmataceae bacterium. RNAcentral describes it as "tRNA-Thr". It matches the Rfam family "tRNA". Rfam says of the family: Transfer RNA (tRNA) molecules are approximately 80 nucleotides in length. Their secondary structure includes four short double-helical elements and three loops (D, anti-codon, and T loops). Lineage: Bacteria; Pseudomonadati; Planctomycetota; Planctomycetia; Gemmatales; Gemmataceae. The record is from RNAcentral.
GCCGGCGAAGCUCCACUGGCAGAGCGUCGCACUCGUAACGCGAAGGGGCGGGUUCGAUUCCCGCCGCCGGCU